AAAAAAAAAACGAGAUUAUGUAGUUUCUCAUAUCAUUGCAGCAUACUAAUUUACAUAAUAUUUACAAUUAUUCUCGCAAAAAUAAAGUUCUAUCUGCUGAUAUUGUUAAAAUACGUAACAAGGAAAUGUUUCUUUAAUCAUUUUUGUCUUUUAAUGAUAGAUAAUAAUUAAAAUUCUCGAUUGUUUCAACACUAGCAUCUUUAUCUACUAGUAAACAAAAUAAAGAAAAAUAGCGUAUAUAUAACCGCGUAAUCGCGCUUGAAUGAUUCAACCCUAGAAAAUACAAUGUCUUAUCACUGACGCGACGAUGUCAAAGUCAAAAAUACGGAUAGUUAAACCGUCCUCGUGGAAAUUCUUUCGUAACAACGAAAUAAGUGAAAUAUGUGCGACGUCCUUAACCCAGUAAUAUACUCCCGUCGCUUGGCGUCAUGCAAAGACAGGCAGCUUCUUCUCGUUCUUCUCGUUACACUAAUUUUAAUCUUCCCGUGCCCCGCCUGUGCUUAAGACGCUGGAGAUGGCGGAAGGCGGUGACGUGUUCUAAUAUUACGUUUCUCACGUUUCUUUGACAUUCGCUCGACUUUCUGCUAAGGGUUUGAAUUACAUCUAAUGAUAGCUCAUCUAUAUAAUUAAGCGGGGGCCAUUCUGUCCGUCGAACGUGGUAGGUGUACGCGUUCGCGAAAACGAUUUCAAUCGGUUUCAGCGCUGAGAACAACGACACGCUUUGUUACGAGACGAGCCGGGGCUCAAGGUAAUUGAAUUACUUUGCAUUCAGUUAUUAAGCGAGGGAGGGAAACAAAAUGAGACGAUAAAAUUUUAUCUUUCUGGGAAGAGAAAACAAGUUUACGCGCCGUCAGCUGACGUAAUUGUUCGCGGGUAACUGUGCAUCGAUAAACAUAAUAGAAUUGCAUCUUUCUGUAGGAUGCAAUCGCGUAAUUAAGCAGUCGCUUUCCGUUGAUUAAUGAUCUGGCUGGGCCAGAUAGGGGAAAUCCUGUGCAGAUCUCUGCCGGCUCUUCGAGAAAUUUCCUAUUAAAGUAACGCCGCCGAGUCGCUACCGCCGCGUCGGAGACUCGCAAAGAAAUGUUAUCGUGACUCAUGUAAGUUGCACUGCACUUUAAUUCAUGAUUAGAAAAUAACGCCGCAGCGUGCACGCCGGGAAAUGAAUUGUACAUUUAUUCGUAUCAUCGUAUCCUGUCGUGUACUAUUAUUUAUUCGUUGUAAGUAUUAUCUGCCUUUAUUUGUUGAAUUUAAUGUCACAGGAAAAGAUGAAGCGUUAAAUUAUCACUAUACGUGCAUAAAUACUUAACAAAUUACCAGGAAGUAAAACACAAUUAUUACACAGGAAAUAAAUGGAUCUAAUUUAAAUAAUUUUUUAUAUUGCGCGUCUUAACACUUUUAAAUCAAUCGUGAGAAGAAUUACAUUUUUUUUAAUGAUUUUUGUUUUAACAUUUGAAAAUUAUUUGACAUUUCGGCGCGCAAGAGUGGAGAGCUCGCUCGUUACUCAAGGGGAGCCGCGGGAGAGAAAGUUUGAUUUCACGUUAUACACUCUCAGCGAGCAGAAGUAUAAUUAAUAUUAUGAAACCAAUGCCGUAAACAUCGACGCGUUCCGCAAUGUCAAACGUGUCCCAGCCACAAUAAGUUUCACGCUUAACACUCGUGAACGCCAGCGAAACCUCGGUUUUUUUUUCUCUCUUUUAGAAACGGUUCGCGAACGUGAAAAUCGCCGAAGAAGUCAGUAUUAUGGCUCUCAAGGUAUCGAGCUAUUAAUAAUUAGAGCAUGAAAGAAAUGUUAUGUAAUGUACGAGGCUAAGAAUUGUAAUCGUGUAUUGUAAAAAGUAUAUUUCGAAUUGUUAUCGAAAAGGAUGUGUCACCACACUAAAUCUAAUGAAUACAAAUUUAAAAAAAAAUUAACUUCGUACAUCGACAGUAUCGUUUCAAAUGCGAUGAAUAAAAUUUCGUGAGUAUCAACGUUUCAUAAAUAAUCAUCAAUCACGAAUGAAGAAAUAGUUGCUGGUGCGUCCGCGUUGUUGCUGCUGCUGCUGCUGCUGCUGUUAGCGAGCACACGACUUGAAGUUCAGGGUCAAUCGCUGGCCGACCGGCUGCAUUACGUCCACGCUUACGCUUACGUUCGUCUUUCUUCUUCUAUUUGGGCCUUGAAGACUUGCCGGGCGGGGUCUCGUGCCGUUCGUGCUAAGUGGGGGCAAGGCCCCGUGCCGCCGGCGCCGCUAGUUGCAGAAACUCUGGCCCACUUGCUGCUCCUCGGCACGGUGGGGGGACGAUUACCAGUUUUACUAUCCAGGAUGCCUCGCUUUGUCGGUGCUGCACUCUCCAGCAAACCCGUUCGCCGAUCAGCGGCAUUUCGGUGCAUCGCGUCGGUAAACGGCUAUCACGUUCUGUUUUGCCGCGACUGUAAGUCCGUCGGACGCGCACUUGGCGGUGGAUCCAAAAAAUUGCGGGCAACAAUAUUCAAAAUGGUUUUUACGUCAACAUCGAAUUUUUUCAAAUCAAUAUACGAGAAUCUUAGGUACAGGCGUUUUAGAAAUUGUUCACAUAUAUUAAGAUAUUUAUUUCCUUCGCAAGAAACUCAUUUUUUGUACAAUAUAAAACUGACUUUACAAUACGAAAUUAAUAUAAGAACGUGCUCGUCCUAAUGAACGUCGAUAUCACAACUUUCACUAUUACGUAAAUCACAGUUUUUAUCCGAAAUUUAUAUUCAGUGGGCAUUUGGAUCGUUGGUUGAAUCGGAGAUGAAAACAAACGUAUAAAUUUUUCCAAUACAUAUUCAUGACCUGCUGGCUAUAAAUUUAAAUUUGUAAAAUGGUAUUGAUACGUAAUUCAAUUUCUGUGACGUACCAAGAGUCAUGCGAUGUCUCGCGCGGAAAGAUCUGAAGUAAAGCGAUCUGGUGCAGCGAUUAAGCGUAACAAAAACGAGGAGACGACGCAGUGGGAACUGGUGCAACCGGAGUUCACGAGCCAGAGCUAAGAUAAGAAUAAGAGAGGAGAAAGUUUCUGGAAUUCGUAAAUUUCGUUACGCGAACUCCGUGAACGUCGCUCCUCGCUUAUCGCCUCGGCAUACAAAUACAUACGCUCCGCGUCGCAUUCCACGUGUGCGUGAACCUGCGCACGUCUACGUGCAAGCACUUUCGUCGUUACACGAGUUACACUCGCGCAUACACGCAGGAGGCAACGAUGCGCAGUGCCAUAACGCUUACAUACACACGGGCAUUAUAAUCUUCUAUCCGGAUGGCGGACGUUACGAUCUACCAUUGAAUCGAACAAUGGCGAAACUGGGUUACGCAAAUGUCGAGGCUGGAAAUUAAAGCGCGGAGAUAGAGAGAGAAGAAGAGGGAGACACUCGCACACUGUCGUAAAAAGAUUCAACUCCCGUUUGGAAAACCGAGUCUUAAUUAAAGGAAUCGUCCUCGUUGGUAGUUUGACACUCAUCACACAAAGCAUGGAAAGCUAAAGAAAAGAUUUUUUUUCAAUUACCUCCCUAAGUAUUAUCCUUUGUAUGUGAGUCAAAUUGAAACAGAAGGAGACUGGAGACAACUCUGUCAAUUGCAUCGUCAACACUGACAUUAAAAUGUAUAUCGUCUAUUGAUUUCUUACUUCUUGCAUAGAUAACUAGGAAACAGAAUAAUCAAAUGCAUCAACAACAUUCCAUGAGUCGUAGAACAUAGUCCACUUUUAUCGACCUCGACGAUUAAACAGUAAUGGAAGAAAGCUGUAAGUAGGAGUUAGAAAAUAUCUUCUCGGAAGGAAAUAUUAAAAGCAUCAAAUGAAAUUCUCCCAAUAAAUUGGCACAUUUGACUGCUGUAUGGCUGCUUCAUUCACCUGACACAAUUUCCUGUUUUCUCGAUUAUGACCGUUUGCAAUUGCAGUAAUUGAGCUGUUUGGUAUUUAUCGCGAAGAGAACAGAUCACGGCGGAUUGGGGCGAGGCUGCUGAAACCGUCCGAGUUGAACCGAGCUCUACAACGUGGAUUGAGCAACGCACGGAGAACUCGUUACGAGACCUGUAAUGGGGUCCAGGCGUUUCCGCUCUAUUUUUUGUGGGCCCAAUUACGUUCCGCCGGGCCUGAAUAGUCCGUGUUUCGCGGUCUCAUCGAAACACCUCCUCUCGCGUACCGUAAAACCAUGCACGCACGUCACGGCUUUGGGAAGCACUCGCUCGGAACACCAUAGAAAAUCUUUGCGGGGAUGCGACGCGUUCCCGCAAAAUAUCCAGAGAACCGAGGCCAGAAUUCCAUCGAACGCGUCAUGGACAUUGAUGGCCUUUUUAAAAGAACACCGCGCCCGUUUGAUGGCCGUUUUAUAACUUCUAAGAAAUAAUCGGAAGCUAUAAAAGUGUUUUUUCUUUAAAUUGAGAAACGUAGUGGAUCGACAGACUGGUUUAGUCGUCUGUUGAAACAUUUUUCUACAGAACAAGAAUAAUCGUUGCUAACAGUUUGAGAUUGAAUCAGUCACGAAAUAAUUGAUAAGACAAUUUAAAAAAAUAGUUAGGCAACUGUUUUGGAUAAAAAUAAAGAGUCAUUUUUUUAUGUCGGUUAGAAACAGCUUCACGGCUCGUUAAUUCUUGAUCGAUUAAACUGCGUUUAGAUUUCAUGUUUUAGAAACGAAAACGCGAGCGGAGGGCAGGGUUAUGACACCCCGUGAAACCUGUGACUCACACCUUUCCCCGAUUUCGAAUCACUAUUUUCCAACUGGUCUCUCACGCUCUCCCUCUUGCGCAUCGCUCCGUCGACUGUGACGUACUCUCUCCGUUACUUCUCUCUCCUUCCCUCCUCUGCCCCUUCUAAUUUUCUCCAUCUCUCUUGGUUGCCCUCUUGCUUUUCAACCGGUGUUACGAAAAUCGCCGGUGUACCUUUCGGCAUUGCGAAAAACGAUAAUACGCGAGAAAUGAACGGAGAACCAAAAUAAGCUGGUAUCCCUAUCGUUUCUAAAAACGCACAGAAUCAACAAACUAAGAGGACUGUCAUUUUUUCAAGCUGUCUUAUGUCAUAAAUUCUUCGAACGUAUUUAUUCUACUCGAAAUUGUAUGAGCAAGCCGUACAGCCUGCGUGCUUUCGAAAUACUUUCACGCUCGAGAAGAGCAAUGAUGUGGGGACACGUUUCUGGAUCGCAAGUGCGAUAAGUGCAUUGCGCCACGAGGCUUAUUAUCCUAUCCACUUGUCCGUGGAAGCUAAGUAUUAAAAGGUGGAAUCGGCCGGGCAUCGAUAAAUGCAAACAGGCGUUCACGCACUUAGCAUUCUUCUCAAAAUUAUCUCCAAGCUGCUUUUACUUAUCGUCACCUCUCAGAAAUCCCCUAUUUCAUUAUAUUCAAACCCUUUCGCCUUUGAUCCUUAAAGAAAUUCUUGAAAAAAACAAAUGCUGACUCUUUGCGAAUAUGGAUAGAAUCGUGCAAAAAUACAAGUCGAAUAAAGAAUUUAUGAAGUGAAUCCAUCAUUUUAUCAGAGAUGAAGCUCUGAUUGUCGGAAUUGACUAUUUGAUGCGAAGAAGGGUCGGAGCUUAAGAAAAUCCGAUAAAUGAAGAAUCGCAUGCGAAAAACAGCAGCGAUCAGGGCAGCGGGAAGGACUCGUUGCGACGUGGUGGAAGGACAGAAUUCCCUCGGCCUAUCGGCGGUCGUCGAGUCACCGGAUACAUUUCAUUCAAGGCCAGAAAGUAAAAAGCCUUUUCAGCUGCACUUACGUACCAACCUAGCCAACUCUAACUGGUACGUACGCGGUCGCACGCACUCUUCCACCAGGUAAGCGCUUACGUACGGACGACGCGCGUACGUGACACACGUCCGAUGGCCUUGUAUGUGUACGCGCGGAGGCGUUUCUCUCUCUCUCUCUCUCUCUCUCUCUCUCUCUCCUCUCUCUCUUGCCUCUCUCACCGCUCUCUCCUCGUCACUCUUUUUGUCUCUCGUUCCUCGAAGCGAAGAGUCCGCGGAGCGGUUAGUUACAUGAUCCAUUCAUUAUAUAAGAACAAUCGCCUCCUCUAAUAGACGCUCCAUCAUUGUGGAUCUGAAGGGCAUGUUUGUUACGCGCGCACGCGCCUCCUCUUGGGGCAAUCGGAUGCGUUUCACGAUUUCGUAGUGUUCGCCAGAAGUGCAAGAAAAACGUAAUUCCGUCGACCGUGAUAAUUUGCGAACACAAAUUUCUCGAGAUUCAUUACUUAUCUAAUCAGAUUCCAUAGUUUAUGUCACGUUUAAACGAAGAACAUAUAUGCCGUUCUAUGCAGUGUAACCUUCAUUCAAUACGCCUUUCGCAAUUUACUUAUAUAGUAAAAUAAAAACUCGAUAAUUGACUCAACUUAUAAUUAAAUGUAGUAUUCAAUGGAACAGUCUUUUUUCCAGGAUACUCGCGUGAUAAACAUGAUGUCAGAAGCAGUAUUGAGCGCCGGUCACUUUUGAGCAGUUGCAUAACCAGAAGGACGUCCGAGAGCUCGGCGCGAUGCGACGCGACGUGGAGCAGCAGGAGCACGUGGAAACGCGGAAACACUUUGCCACAGCCGGGAGGAACGGUUAGAAAACGGAAGCGAUUGCUCGCGCAACGAUCGUCACGCAUCGAAUAGGAGCAGUCAGCGUUAGCGGUGAAGUUGAGGAAAACACGGUGCGCCGGCCGAUCGCGGCGUGUGGCGAUUUCGAUCCGUUCAAUGUCAAAGCCUGGCAUCAUCGUAUCGGCUAGGCUGGCUGGCUGCUGCCGCUGGUACAUAGAUACAUACCGAGCGCAUACCUACUUACGUACAUACCUUUUACUGCGCAUCGGCCGGCAGAUGCAGCGUGCAUGCAUCUAACUCGCGCGGGUUAGUCAUCGGCUGGCUGGAGAUCCGAUCGGCGCAUACAGCCGCGAUUGAGGACUAUUAAACGGAUGACCUUUCACUACCUAGAAGAUCUACAUACACCUACGUAUCGGAGCAUACGCGGCCGCGAGAUACUCGCGUGCAUUCGUGUUACGCAAUCACGAUCACUCUUCUCUCCCUCUUCCUCUCUUCACCGUUAAUUCUCUCCCCGCCUCUCUCUGUAUAUUUCUCUUUCUCUCUUCAUCCAUCUCCCUCGCCCUCGCUACUAUCCAGAGCAGGCACACGUACGCAUGCCGCUUCAGCGUUUUGGAGCCGAAGGGCAAAUCUGCCUAUGCUUCAGUUUAACGUUGGAGAAGCUAAUUGAAAUGAAUCAUUACUGCUAGAGUCAAUGUUGGUAAGAUGAUUAAGAUAUAUCUAUUUGCACGAAAGGAACAUGCAACUCGGAUGUAAAAACUGAAUGAAGAAACAGUGCGAAAAGUACCAACGCCUGUUCGUAAAUUUCACGGAAAGUCACGAGGAUCACAAAAACGGUUUCAGAGUACAUUUGCUAAAAAUUUCACGAAGAUGAAUCAGUCAUUUCGGUCACAUGAUGAUCAUGUCGGUGCUAACUAAUUCGAUAUGAAUUCAAAUAUCUUUUUUAUGCAACCAGGAAAAAGUUGCAGUUAUGUCGUAGAGAUGUUCUUUAUAUAAAUCCUACGUCCUAGGUACUAAUUUGUAUUGCAAAUGUAGACUGUAAUUUUUAAAGAGCGUUGUUAUUUAUUAUUUUCCUCGAUAUUUUUUACUCGUUUCAACUCGAAAGGAAUAGUGUAUUACAAAUCUCAUGACCAGUCACAAUGUGUUAAAUGAGUAAACUCCUCAAUCCGUCACUGUGUUAAUCUAUCUUCACCUAUCUUUUGGGAAACAUUAAUCAUGUUAAGAACGAAGUUCUGUUAUUCUUUGUUUCGGUUUGACAAGAAUCCAAAAAUAUCAAAAUAACACGAAUGCAUUUAUCAAAGCUUUUACUUGUCUACUGAAAUAAAUAAAGGUCACGAUAAAUUUUAUUUAAAAAAACUCCGAACUAAGAAAAAUCUAAAGUUUUCCAACGUAGUUGACAUUAAAAUACCAUCACUGCAAUUACGCAUUAUUGUAACAUCACGUAUCGACGGUGCAUGUUACAUAGUUAGUGGAAUGGAAUCCUACAAGAAUGCAAUCAGAUGCAGUGGCACGCGUAUAUUUCUUUUCAGUUAGUUCAAGUAGCGCAGUCUUUUUAUUUGAUCGCAUUUACCACACUACCUUGUAAUCGCCUUGCAGGAAAAUUUUAAUAAAGCCAAGAUCGCUGCUUUUGGCUCGGCCUUGCUGCGGCGCAUAAAUGAGUCAGGCGGAAACGAGAAACGUCAAGUGAUGACCAACGUUUUGCGAGAAGUAGACUCCUGCUCUCUAUGCAAUUUCAUACUCGCCUCGCCUUGAGAUGAUCACGCUUUCUUGAAAUAGAUCGGGCCAACCGCAACAAUUGCCUAACGAUGCGUUAGACUCGAAUAAUCCUUAAAGCGAGCUACCUUUCUUUGUAAAUCUGAUUCGAUAGCACGGCUACCAGUAUUGAGCAUAACUACACAAGUAAAUUAAAUUUACUUUUACGCAUGUUCGAGAGAAAUUUACGCUCUUCGUGUUAACAGCAGAUCUUCUAGAAAAAUAGUUUCGUUUCGAUAAUUAUUAUUGCGUAACACGCGUUGCAUGAAUUCACUACGUCUUUCUUUCAUUAGCUCGUCCAUCGCAGCCCAUACAUUCUUUUUUCGCUUGACGUCAAUGCAAAGAUACAAAUGAUAUACUUUCAUAAAAGUAAAGCAGUAGGUAUUAUUCAAGUGAUACCAUUCUCGCGCGCACACAACCAUGCCCGCGGACGUUCUUUAAUCGCGCCGAUACUUUCAUCGGCGCGACUGCAUAUGUACUUAUGCACGU
Ceratina calcarata is the source of this 8716-nucleotide long non-coding RNA. RefSeq lists it as uncharacterized. Lineage: Eukaryota; Metazoa; Arthropoda; Insecta; Hymenoptera; Apidae. The transcript is spliced from 3 exons. The record is from RefSeq and is a predicted model, not a curated record.